RNAcentral lists this long non-coding RNA (3975 nucleotides) under Canis lupus familiaris (dog). RNAcentral describes it as "lncRNA (ENSCAFG00030023347.1)". Lineage: Eukaryota; Metazoa; Chordata; Mammalia; Carnivora; Canidae. The record is from RNAcentral.
UUAUUUGUUUGGGGCUUUACUAUCCACUUGUUAAACUUUCUAAGAAAUUAAUGCUCGAUAGUAGUUGAAAUGUGCUAUCAUUUUCCAGAUGAGACUUUGACAUAGUGUCACACCGGAUUAUUUUUGUCUUGUAAAUGUCUUCAGCAUCUCCCAAUGGCCCAAAGCCCUUACUUUCUUAUCUUCUAGCUAUAGUUUUGAGGGUUAGGCUCUCUAUAAACCCCACAAUGGGUUUCCCCGGUGUGGAGCAGAAGGUGUGGAUGUUGGCAUGUGAGAUGGGAAAAAAAAUGCGAUGUUCAAAGUGAGAAAGGGCCUUUCCAUACUCCCCAGAGAGGGGCCCAUAUGGCAUCGUUUUCGGGUCCCAUCAAAACUUUAAGGCAUACCUUCACCUUGUGCAGAGUCCUUGAUGUCCUACCAAGGAAGACGUCCUCACAUCUUGCAGCAGGAACCCAUUGAUACGGCGCCCACCUUGACUUCCGAAUGGGACAGCGCAUCCUCAGAAGCAACGGUGAUGGCGGUGAUGGCGCCUGCAUCACACAUCGAAGACGCUUGUGCUGAUAGCUCAAGCCCUUGAAAACCCAGCCAAGGUCAGUGUCGUAUCCUCCAGGAAUCCUGGCCGGCAAGAUGUGCUGGAAGUUGCUGCCGCCACCAGAGCCACCUCUGUUGCCGGCCGCCCCAUCCUUGGACCUUCGCCAAGCCAGCCCAGCCAGUCCUCCGAGGGCCGCGACUCCCGCCGUCACUAGUCCCGCUGCUGACCAGCAGCGGCCCCGCACAGGUGCGGUCACCUGUGUCACACGGAUGCUCCUCGGGGCCACGUGGACAUUUCCAGCCCAGGCCGCAGGGGGGCGCUGGCCCAGAGCCUCUGCGCAUGUGCAGCCCCUCCCGAGGCCCACUCGGGGAGGAGGCCGCGCGGGUCUCUGCUGCAGAGAUCCUGAAGGGAUGGAACAGGAAGAGCAGGCUGCUGCCGCGGGCCACGACGGAGAAGGAAUUUCAGGGAUGUUAACAGAUGCUGAUGCAGUUGGACUAUGUCCUUGAGCUUCUGCCAUCACCAUGAGAACAAGUCCUAGCCGCCAAAAGAUUGAGAGCCACAUGAAUCAAACCUAAAUUGAGCCUACAACCUGGAGCCAAGCCCAGGCAAGGCCAGGUGAGCUCAGAAGGAGAUUUCCACUUGGGUAAGAAGAAGACUGAGAGGGCAUAUGUCAUUAAAAUAAUACCUCUUUCAAAGUCUUGUUGAUGUGAGAAUAAAAUUCAUCACCAUGAGAAUAGUUUAGCUAUGAUACAUUUUAUGAGUGGAGUUUAUUUAACCCUCUGAGAUGUUUUAUGAUCAGAACUAGAAUUCAGAGUGUUGCCUUGGACCUUUUAUUUUAAAAAGGAAAGGACUGAAUGGAAGUGACUGUCAGGGCACGUAACAUUGGCUCUUAAUCUAGUGACUUGAUAGAGUCAUUGCAUUCCACAUGGUACUCAAUGUUCCACAGCAGAGUGUGUUUGUUUAAAGAGCAUCUCACAAGAGUAGUGGACCUAGACAUAGUAUCUUGAGACAGUCUUUGAGUUUAGUCUAGUGUUACAUUCAGAGGCAGUUCUGAACUGUGGAGAAUAUUUAUUCUUAUACACAAGUGAAAUUAGUAGGUCAUAGUUGUAGAUAAUCUGUGUGCUUAAGUGUUGCAAAACCUACAGACAUAGAUAGACAGGGUAGGACCAGAAUAGCAAUAUUGGCUUUGUCUUUUACUGUACUGGCAUAAUUCACUUUUAUUAGGAUUGUGUUUGGCAUAUGAGAGGACUAAGGUUUAGUUCUUUCCCAGUAGCUAUAUAGGUUAUUAGUGGUUGUAGGAAAGGAUAUUACCUCUAUAUUCAAAAGGACAUGCGCCUGGUGUCCUUUCAAGCUUAAAAAUGAGCUGAAGAUGCUUUUAAUAUGUGAACACCUUUUCUCAUUUCAUAUUGGUAGAAAAUAGAUCUUGAUAUGUAUAUAUAUAUUUUUUUGAGAGCUCUGAACCAUUCAUUAUGAUUCAAGAAGUUUUUUCCACAGAUUAUCCACAAUUUUUUUUUAAGAGAGAGCACCAGAGAGCAUGUGCACAUGCACAAGUCAGGGGAGGGGCCAAGGGGGAGAAUCUUCAAGCAGACUCCCCACUGAGCAUGGAGCCCAACUUGGGGCUCAGUCUCGUGACCUGAGCCGAAACCAAGAGUUGGACACUUAACUGAGCCACCCACAUACCCCUAUUCAACAAUUUUUUUUAAUAGAUAGUCUACCAUGUGCCAAUUACUGAGAAUUACAUUAAUAAGAUGGUUAUUAUUUUAAAUAUCUGAUGAUAUAAAUGGAGAAUAAAGUUAGAAGACAAUUAUAGGACAGCAUGAUAAAUCCUAGGAUAAGGAUUCUUUGCAUACUCCUUCAGUACCCAGGAUCAUCCAACCUAGUCUUGGAGGUAGACAAGGAAAGCUUCCCAAAGGAAGUAGUUUCUAGUGAUGAAUGAUUAGGAGUUAUGUUUCAUGGAGGGAAGUAAUUUGAAGAGAGUUUUUUUUUUUAGGUAGAAAGUCCUUAAAAAGGGCAGCCCCGGUGGCGCAGUGGUUUAGCGCCACCUGCAGCCCGGGGUUUGGUCCUGGGGACCCUGGAUUGAGUCCCACAUCAGGCUCCCUGCAUGGAGCUUGCUUCUCCCUCUGCCUGUGCCUCUGCCUCUCUCUCUCUGUGUCUCUAUGAAUAAAUAAAUAAAAUCAUUAAAAAAAAAAAGUCCUUAAAAAGCCUUUGGUGGUAGCAUGAGGUUCGCGUCACUGUCAGCUGGAACCAGAGUCAUCAGCUGAAACCAGAGUCAUCAGCUGAAUGGGUUCCUCUAACCAAAUUAGACAAGCCAAAACCCCAUGGUAAAAGCACUAUACCAAAAUGAGAAAGCCUUCAACCUCACAUACAGAACUGAAUUUGUUGCUCUCCUGAAAUGUUAUGAUCAGUUCUGGUCAAUUGAAACUAACAGAUUAUAAAGAGAAGACACAAAGACAGGUAUCUGAGUCACCUAAGUCACCUAAGACAUCUGAGUCAGUGUAAUGGUUUUGUAUGAGUGAAAACCAAAGAAAUAAGGAUUUCCAGUUGGGAAAAAUGAAAGCUUAGAGGACAUGUGAUCAAAAUUAAGAAAUAAAAAAGGAGGAAGUCAAAAGCCCUGCUGGUUCUUUCUGUACCUCCUAGUCACCAUGUGAUAAAUUGAUUCAUCUCUGGGGGCCUCAGUUCUACAUCUGUACAAAAAAGGCACCAGAAUAGUGAAUGUUUGUAGUGGUAUUUGGCCUGGAGGCUUUUACUACUAACAACCAGCACCUCUUUGUUUAAGGCCUGUCCUCAGGCUUCUAGAAUCUGCUUGCUUUGAAUACAUGGAGAGUAAUAAAUAGGUGGGAAUAUAGUCAUCCCUCACCCCAAAGUAACCCUUAACCCCAAUAUGAUAGGUGGGGGGUAAAAAUACUUCAGGUCCCUUGCCUCCUACUGGUGACCUCAUCCUCCCCAACCCUGGGUUGAGCCAAUAUCACUCUUUGUGGAGUUUUGCUUGAUAUUGUACCCUUUACUUCUUUCUCUGUGCAAUGCUAUCUCCCACUACUCUUGUUCUACCAGCCUGGUCUGAUUUAGAUAGUAGCUUUGGUAUUCUUUAAGAUCUUUAAUAUUUGUUUAUUUACAUACACUAAACACAUAUUUGUGGCAGAUUAAAAGAAAAGAAGUAAAUACAUAUUUGUGGCAGAUGAAAUGAGAAGAAAAGUAAAUAUAUAUUUGUGGCAGAUGAGAAGAAGUAUCUUAUGCUUAAUAUUGUUUAGAAUCACUAUUAACAUAUAAACAUACCCACUAAUUAAUUUAUUAAGUGCUCACUAAUUCCAUAACUGAUUUUAUUUAUUUAUUUAUUUAUUUAUUUAUUUAUUUAUUUAUUUUUUCCAUAACUGAUAUUUUACAUGUUUGCUUCUGUAGAGAUCCUUGGUGUACUGUUAUAUAGGUAUCUGAGCAUUUUAGUGAUAUUUAGG